GUCUUGGAUCCUGUCGGAUUAACGCUGGCGGGAUGUUUACACAUGCAAGUCGAACGGCAGCACGGACUUCGGUCUGGUGGCGAGUAUGAACGGGUGAGUAAUGUAUCGAAACGCCUAGUAGCGGGGGAUAACUACGCGAAGCGUAGCUAAUACCACACAGCCCUUCGGGGGAAAGCGGGGGACCCGGGCCUCGCACUAUUAGAGCGGCCAAUAUCGGACCAUUAGUUGGUGGGGUAACGGCUCAACAAGGCGACGAUCCGUAGCUGGUUUGAGAGGACGACCAGCCACACUGGGACUGAGACACGGCCCAGACUCCUACGGGAGGCAGCAGUGGGAAUUUUGGAUUUAAAUGGGAAAUCCUGAUCCAGCCAUCCCGCGUGUGCGAUGAAGGCCUUCGCUGUAAAGCACUUCGCGGAAAGAAACGGCACGGGAUAAAUACCCGUGCAACGACGGUACCUUCCGCAGAAUAAGCACCGGCUAACUACGUGCCAGCAGCCGCGGUAAUACGUAGGGUGCAAGCGUUAAUCGGAAUUACUGGGCGCAGCGUGCGCAGGCGGUUCGGAAAGAAAGAUGUGAAAUCCCAGAGCUUAACUUUGGAACUGCAUUUUUAACUACCGAGCUAGAGUGUGUCAGAGGGAGUGGAAUUCCGCGUGUAGCAGUGAAAUGCGUAGAUAUGCGGAGGAACACCGAUGGCUAUGAAGGCAGCCUCCUGGGAUAACACUGACGCUCAUGCACGAAAGCGUGGGGAGCAAACAGGAUUAGAUACCCUGGUAGUCCACGCCCUAAACGAUGUCAAUCUAGCUGUUGGGGCCUUCGCCUUGGUAGCGCAGCUAACGCGUGAAGUUGACCGCCUGGGGAGUACGGUCGCAAGAUUAAAACUCAAAGGAAUUGACGGGGACCCGCACAAGCGGAUGAUGUGAUUAAUUGAUGCAACGCGAAAAACCUUACCUACCCUUGACAUGUCUGGAAUCCCGAAGAGAUUUGGGAGUGCCUGCAAGAGAACCGGAACACAGGUGCCGUACGGCUACGUCAGCUUUCGUGUCGUGAGAUGUUGCCAAGUCCCGGCAACGAGCGCAACCCUGUCAUUAGUUGCUACGAAAGGGCACUCUAAUGAGACUGCCGGUGACAAACCGGAGGAAGGUGGGGAUGACGUCAAGUCCUCAUGGCCCUUAUGGGUAGGGCUUCACACGUCAUACAAUGGUCGGGACAGAGGGUCGCCAACUCAAGAGGGGGAGCCAAUCCCAGAAACCCGAUCGUAGUCCGGAUCGCAGCUGCAACCUCGACCGCGUGAAGUCGGAAUCGCUAGUAACCGCGGAUCAGCAUGUCGCGGUGAAUACGUUCCCGGGUCUUGUACACACCGCCUGUCACACCAUGGGAGUGGGUUUUACUUAGAAGUAGUUAGCCUAACUGUAAGGAGGGCGAUUACCACGGUAGGAUUCAUGACUGGGGUGAAGUCGUAACAAGGUA
RNAcentral lists this ribosomal RNA (1467 nucleotides) under uncultured Bordetella sp. RNAcentral describes it as "partial 16S-23S ribosomal RNA intergenic spacer". It matches the Rfam family "Bacterial small subunit ribosomal RNA". The record is from RNAcentral. Lineage: Bacteria; Pseudomonadati; Pseudomonadota; Betaproteobacteria; Burkholderiales; Alcaligenaceae.